This 460-nucleotide ribosomal RNA is filed under the name uncultured bacterium. RNAcentral describes it as "SSU rRNA". It matches the Rfam family "Bacterial small subunit ribosomal RNA", at positions 26 to 518 of the family's 1533-position model. The record is from RNAcentral.
AGAAUCAACGCUGGCGGCGUGCCUAACACAUGCAAGUCGCACGAGAAAGUGGAGCAAUCCAUGAGUACAGUGGCGCACGGGUGAGUAACACGUGAAUAAUCUACCUCCGAGUGGGGAAUAACCUAGAGAAAUCUGGGCUAAUACCGCAUAACACUUACGAGUCAAAGCAGCAAUGCGCUUGGAGAGGAGUUCGCGGCCGAUUAGCUAGUUGGCGGGGUAAUGGCCCACCAAGGCGAUGAUCGGUAUCCGGCCUGAGAGGGCGCACGGACACACUGGAACUGAAACACGGUCCAGACUCCUACGGGAGGCAGCAGUGGGGAAUUUUGCGCAAUGGGGGAAACCCUGACGCAGCAACGCCGCGUGGAGGAUGAAAUCCCUUGGGAUGUAAACUCCUUUCGAUAGGGAAGAUAAUGACGGUACCUAUAGAAGAAGCCCCGGCUAACUUCGUGCCAGCAGCCGC